This 92-nucleotide microRNA precursor is filed under the name Macaca nemestrina (pig-tailed macaque). RNAcentral's name for it is "miRNA (ENSMNEG00000019612.1)". The stretch from base 13 to 84 matches the Rfam family "mir-622 microRNA precursor family". The record is from RNAcentral. Lineage: Eukaryota; Metazoa; Chordata; Mammalia; Primates; Cercopithecidae.
AGAGGAGCUGGACAAGUACUGGUCUCAGCAGAUUGAGGAGAGCACCACAGUGGUCCCCAUGCAGUCUGCCGAGGUUGGAGCUGCUGAGCUGA